GGGGGAUGGUGUAAUGGUAGCACGGCAGAGUCUGAAUCUGUUUAUCCAUGUUCGAAUCCAAAUCCCCCG
Molecule: transfer RNA, 69 nt
Filed under: Phycisphaerae bacterium
Lineage: Bacteria; Pseudomonadati; Planctomycetota; Phycisphaerae
Description: tRNA-Gln
Source: RNAcentral